Molecule: ribosomal RNA, 375 nt
Filed under: uncultured organism
Description: partial 16S ribosomal RNA
Rfam family: Bacterial small subunit ribosomal RNA
Source: RNAcentral
GUAGGUGGCAAGCGUUGUCCGGAAUUAUUGGGCGUAAAGCGCGCGCAGGCGGUCCUUUAAGUCUGAUGUGAAAGCCCACGGCUCAACCGUGGAGGGUCAUUGGAAACUGGGGGACUUGAGUACAGAAGAGGAAAGCGGAAUUCCAAGUGUAGCGGUGAAAUGCGUAGAGAUUUGGAGGAACACCAGUGGCGAAGGCGGCUUUCUGGUCUGUAACUGACGCUGAGGCGCGAAAGCGUGGGGAGCAAACAGGGAUUAGAUACCCCGGUAGCCCACGCCGUAAACGAUGAGUGCUAAGUGUUAGGGGGUUUCCCGCCCCCCUUAGUGCUGCAGCUAACGCAUUAAGCACUCCGCCUGGGGAGUACGGCCGCAAGGCUG